Molecule: ribosomal RNA, 253 nt
Filed under: uncultured bacterium
Lineage: Bacteria
Description: partial 16S ribosomal RNA
Rfam family: Bacterial small subunit ribosomal RNA
Source: RNAcentral
UACGAAGGGGGCUAGCGUUGCUCGGAAUUACUGGGCGUAAAGGGCGCGUAGGCGGACGGCUUAGUCAGGCGUGAAAGUCCUGGGCUCAACCUGGGGAUUGCGCUUGAGACGGGUUGUCUGGAGUGGGGAAGAGGGUCGUGGAAUUCCCAGUGUAGAGGUGAAAUGCGUAGAUAUGGGGAAGAACACCGGUGGCGAAGGCGGCGACCUGGUCCUGGACUGACGCUGAGGCGCGAAAGCGUGGGGAGCAAACAGG